Molecule: ribosomal RNA, 443 nt
Filed under: uncultured bacterium
Lineage: Bacteria
Description: partial 16S ribosomal RNA
Rfam family: Bacterial small subunit ribosomal RNA
Source: RNAcentral
ACUACGGGUGGCAGCAGUGGGGAAUAUUGGGCAAUGGGCGCAAGCCUGACCCAGCAACGCCGCGUGAAGGAAGAAGGCUUUCGGGUUGUAAACUUCUUUUCUCAGGGACGAAGCAAGUGACGGUACCUGAGGAAUAAGUCACGGCUAACUACGUGCCAGCAGCCGCGGUAAUACGUAGGUGGCAAGCGUUAUCCGGAUUUACUGGGUGUAAAGGGCGUGUAGGCGGGAAAGCAAGUCAGAUGUGAAAACCAUGGGCUCAACCUGUGGCCUGCAUUUGAAACUGUUUUUCUUGAGUACUGGAGAGGCAGACGGAAUUCCUAGUGUAGCGGUGAAAUGCGUAGAUAUUAGGAGGAACACCAGUGGCGAAGGCGGUCUGCUGGACAGCAACUGACGCUGAGGCGCGAAAGCGUGGGGAGCAAACAGGAUUAGAUACCCUGGUAGUC